CACAAAGCAGGCAUUCGGGCUCCUCGCACCUACCCCAGCAACUCAAAUUCACCACCUCGGACUCCUGCGACCGCAUCAAAGACGAAUUUCAGCUACUGCAAGCUCAGUACCACAGCCUCAAGCUCGAAUGUGACAAGUUGGCCAGUGAGAAGUCAGAGAUGCAGCGUCACUAUGUGAUGUACUACGAGAUGUCCUACGGCUUGAACAUCGAGAUGCACAAACAGUCUGCCUGGGCCACAGCCCUCUCACCCUGGUACUGCAUGCACGCAAUGCUA
RNAcentral lists this long non-coding RNA (275 nucleotides) under Homo sapiens (human). RNAcentral describes it as "non-protein coding lnc-AES-1:3". Lineage: Eukaryota; Metazoa; Chordata; Mammalia; Primates; Hominidae. The record is from RNAcentral.